This 329-nucleotide long non-coding RNA is filed under the name Solanum tuberosum (potato). RNAcentral describes it as "long non-coding RNA (STUB_LNC003574)". Lineage: Eukaryota; Viridiplantae; Streptophyta; Magnoliopsida; Solanales; Solanaceae. The record is from RNAcentral.
GAUGAUGACUUUUUCGAUAAUACAAUAUAUUAUUGAUAACGAUAUUGAUAGAAUGAUGAUGUUUCAUUAUGGGUUAAUGAUGAUGUCCCUCUGGGUGAUGACGUUGAUGCUCCAUUGAUAAAAUGAUGAUUCUUCUCUAGUAGAAUGACGAUGCUCCAUUGGUAGGAUAAUGUUCCUCUUUGAUAGGAUGUUGAUGCUCUAUUGGUAGGAUGAUGAUGAUCCAUUGGUAGGAUAAUGGUGAUGAAGAUCCAUUGGUAGGAUGAUGAUAAUAAAGAUAUGUCGGUAAGAUGAUGAUGCUGAUGAUCCACCGGUAGGAAGAUGAUCAUAAA